GACGAACGCUGGCGGCGUGCUUAACACAUGCAAGUCGAACGGAAAGGCCCCUUUGGGGGUACUCGAGUGGCGCACGGGUGAGUAACACGUGAGUAACCUGCCCUUGACUUCGGGAUAACUUCAGGAAACUGGGGCUAAUACCGGAUAGGAAUCCUUGCUGCAUGGUGGGGGUUGGAAAGCUUCGGCGGGUUUGGAUGGACUCGCGGCUUAUCAGCUUGUUGGUGGGGUAGUGGCUUACCAAGGCUUUGACGGGUAGCCGGCCUGAGAGGGCGACCGGCCACAUUGGGACUGAGAUACGGCCCAGACUCCUACGGGAAGCAGCAGUGGGGAAUAUUGCACAAUGGGCGGAAGCCUGAUGCAGCAACGCCGCGGGCGGGAUGACGGCCUUCGGGUUGUAAACCGCUUUCAGCAGGGGCGAAGCUUGUGGUGACGGUACCUGCAGAAGAAGCACCGGCUAACUACGUG
RNAcentral lists this ribosomal RNA (465 nucleotides) under uncultured bacterium. RNAcentral describes it as "partial 16S ribosomal RNA". It matches the Rfam family "Bacterial small subunit ribosomal RNA", at positions 28 to 507 of the family's 1533-position model. The record is from RNAcentral.